Molecule: ribosomal RNA, 440 nt
Filed under: uncultured bacterium
Lineage: Bacteria
Description: partial 16S ribosomal RNA
Rfam family: Bacterial small subunit ribosomal RNA
Source: RNAcentral
UCUACGGGAGGCAGCAGUAGGGAAUAUUGCUCAAUGGGGGAAACCCUGAUGCAGCGACGCCGCGUGAGUGAUGAAGUUUUUCGGAUUGUAAAGCCCUUUCAUUAGGGAAGAUAAUGACGGUAUCUGAGUAAUAAGCCCCGGCUAACUCCGUGCCAGCAGCCGCGGUAAUACGUAGGGGGCAAGCGUUACUCGGAGUUACUGGGGGUAAAGAGAGCGUAGGCGGGAGAGCAAGUCUGAAGUGAAAUGCGAGGGCUUAACCCUAGGACUGCAUUUGAAACUGUAAGUCUGGAGUGUGGGAGAGGUAAGUGGAAUUCCUGGUGUAGCGGUAAAAUGCGUAGAGAUUAAGAGGAAUACCAAUUGCGAAGGCGACUUGCUGGACCAUAACUGACGUUGAUGCGCGAAAGCGUGGGGAGCAAACAGGAUUAGAUACCCCGGUAGUC